Molecule: non-coding RNA, 24 nt
Filed under: Cricetulus griseus (Chinese hamster)
Lineage: Eukaryota; Metazoa; Chordata; Mammalia; Rodentia; Cricetidae
Source: RNAcentral
UAGAUUUCUGAGUUUGAGGCCAAC